GGGGGACGGAGAAGGCUAUGUUGGCCGGGCGACGGUUGUCCCGGUUUAAGCGUGUAGGUGUGUGUUCCAGGUAAAUCCGGUUCACUUUAACACUGAGGCGUGAUGACGAGGCACUACGGUGCUGAAGCAACAAAUGCCCUGCUUCCAGGAAAAGCCUCUAAGCAUCAGGUAACAUCAAAUCGUACCCCAAACCGACACAGGUGGUCAGGUAGAGAAUACCAAGGCGCUUGAGAGAACUCGGGUGAAGGAACUAGGCAAAAUGGUGCCGUAACUUCGGGAGAAGGCACGCUGACACGUAGGUGAAGUGAUUUACUCAUGGAGCUGAAGUCAGUCGAAGAUACCAGCUGGCUGCAACUGUUUAUUAAAAACACAGCACUGUGCAAACACGAAAGUGGACGUAUACGGUGUGACGCCUGCCCGGUGCCGGAAGGUUAAUUGAUGGGGUCAGCGCAAGCGAAGCUCCUGAUCGAAGCCCCGGUAAACGGCGGCCGUAACUAUAACGGUCCUAAGGUAGCGAAAUUCCUUGUCGGGUAAGUUCCGACCUGCACGAAUGGCGUAAUGAUGGCCAGGCUGUCUCCACCCGAGACUCAGUGAAAUUGAACUCGCUGUGAAGAUGCAGUGUACCCGCGGCAAGACGGAAAGACCCCGUGAACCUUUACUAUAGCUUGACACUGAACAUUGAGCCUUGAUGUGUAGGAUAGGUGGGAGGCUUUGAAGUGUGGACGCCAGUCUGCAUGGAGCCGACCUUGAAAUACCACCCUUUAAUGUUUGAUGUUCUAACGUGGACCCGUUACCCGGGUUGCGGACAGUGUCUGGUGGGUAGUUUGACUGGGGCGGUCUCCUCCUAAAGAGUAACGGAGGAGCACGAAGGUUGGCUAAUCCUGGUCGGACAUCAGGAGGUUAGUGCAAUGGCAUAAGCCAGCUUGACUGCGAGCGUGACGGCGCGAGCAGGUGCGAAAGCAGGUCAUAGUGAUCCGGUGGUUCUGAAUGGAAGGGCCAUCGCUCAACGGAUAAAAGGUACUCCGGGGAUAACAGGCUGAUACCGCCCAAGAGUUCAUAUCGACGGCGGUGUUUGGCACCUCGAUGUCGGCUCAUCACAUCCUGGGGCUGAAGUAGGUCCCAAGGGUAUGGCUGUUCGCCAUUUAAAGUGGUACGCGAGCUGGGUUUAGAACGUCGUGAGACAGUUCGGUCCCUAUCUGCCGUGGGCGCUGGAGAACUGAGGGGGG
This 1226-nucleotide ribosomal RNA is filed under the name Salmonella enterica subsp. enterica serovar Worthington str. BCH-5715. Its description in RNAcentral is "partial 23S ribosomal RNA". It matches the Rfam family "Bacterial large subunit ribosomal RNA", at positions 1467 to 2671 of the family's 2925-position model. The record is from RNAcentral. Lineage: Bacteria; Pseudomonadati; Pseudomonadota; Gammaproteobacteria; Enterobacterales; Enterobacteriaceae.